This is a long non-coding RNA of Peromyscus eremicus (cactus mouse), 1863 nucleotides long. RefSeq lists it as uncharacterized. The record is from RefSeq and is a predicted model, not a curated record. NCBI's taxonomy places the organism in Eukaryota, Metazoa, Chordata, Mammalia, Rodentia, Cricetidae. The transcript has 2 exons.
GGUUGUCAUGGCGAUGCCUGUAAACAAAUUUGGAUCAUCACAGGUCACCUGUGACCAGUGACCAGUAAGUGCUGUCUGAUACUGGACACACUUGCCACUCAGGUCAGCUGAUCAGACAAGGACAACCAAUUCUCUUGCUCAAUUGUACUGUGGAUUGCUGAUACUCUCCCUCCAACCAUGGCAAUGAUGAAAAUGGAGACAACCCUGGGAUUGACAGCUUCAGGCCAGACACACUGUCUGCUGCAGAGUCCAGACCUCUGCAGUGCCUGCACCCAGGAUGUCCAGAAGACACCACCUGUCCAUGGGGACUGGUCAUUAACUGCUCCCAUGCACAGUUUUUUGGAAUUCCUGCCCUUGCCUCCUGCUCCAAGCUUGGAACAAACAGAGAAUAAUGACUUGGAUUUAAUGACAGCCUCUCUAUCAACUCCUGUGGAUGUUCCCUCUGCUGGCAAGAAGGAGGACCUAUUACCUCCCAAACCUCAAUUCCAAUAUGACUUCAGCUGACAACCAAUUCCAAGGAGGAAAGUCAGCAUUUCAGGGCCAGUCAUCUCAAAGCCCAUCACAGAAGAGCAGAGACCAGAGAGGGAGGCCAUGAAGAGGCAGGCUCAACGGAAGAGAGAGAAUGCUGCCAAGUACACCUCUCUGGGAAAACCACAGCUCUUCCUUCAGAGGCAAAAGGAUAUGGAAAUUUCUAGAUAUUUUGGCUAUGUCAUGUAUGGGCUGGCCUGGAGUUUGGAACACAGUACUAUUCAACAUAGACAAGGUAAGCCAUUGACCCAGAUAUACAUGUAUACGUUGGACUUAAAGAUUUGGGUCAAUGUGUACAUAUAUAGGUACAUAUGGAGUUAAGGAGGUUAAUGUGUAGAUCCAAGAAAAUUUAAAUAAAUGGUCAGACAGUUUCUAUACUUGUAAAUAUUUGAAGACACUAAAAGUGACUGGAGAUGCUAAAAUUGGAUAUUUCAUCCAUGAGUAAGUAUAUAGAAGACUUUGAUGGUUUCUUCGUACCUUUGCUGUUAUUCAUUUAUGUUGCCAAAGUAGUAAUAUGUGAUAUAUUAAUAUAUCAUAUGCUAUAAAUCCCUGGUAGUAUUUUUAUUUAAGGUAAAAGUAAUUAGCUAAAACCUGGACUAGUUAUAAAAUUAUUUUGACUUUUAUUUUCAUUAUACUGGUUUUUGAACUUGGUAUGUUUCCUAUAGUGUAUACUGUUAUAGUAAACACACUCCUGUUCUCACCACACUUCCUCCCAUUUUGAAUCACUCACUUCAGUCCUUUAACCAUUACUAGUCUUGGGCAGAGCUCCUCCUGAAAUUUCAUAACGUGAAAUACAGGAUUCCAUAUAUGCACCAUCAAGGAUGUACUUUAAAGAGAAAAUAUACAAGGUUGAACAAUUUCCUGAGAAGGGUUUCAUUCGUUUACUCUUUGUCUCAAGUUGUAUCCAUCUUUGAAAUCACCCAUUAAUACUUUAUUUUGUGUUUGUGUGUUUGUUUGUCUACCUGAAUUCCUGUGGAACAAAUGUGUGGAGUGCCCACAGAGGUCAGAAGAGGCCAUCGGAUCUGUGAAGUUUGUAAUUAAGAGAUUGAAAGCCACAAGAAGGGGCUCUGAAGCAAGCCUGGGGACUCUGCAAGAAAAGCAAGUAUUCUUAUCUACUGAGCCAUCUCAUGAGCCUCAGUUGAAUCCACAUACUGCAAACAACAUAACUUCAUUUUCUCUAUGGCUGAAAAGACUUCACAUUCUACGAACAUCUCAUUUUCUUCACCCAUGGCAAUGCUGUUGGACACCAUGCUUGGUUCCCUAAUAUUCUUGAAACGGUGCUGCAGUCAACACUGAUGGGCAAGUACCUCUCUAAUAUAUUGAGUUCUUUGGAAA